This is a long non-coding RNA of Acanthochromis polyacanthus (spiny chromis), 415 nucleotides long. RefSeq lists it as uncharacterized. The transcript is spliced from 3 exons. NCBI's taxonomy places the organism in Eukaryota, Metazoa, Chordata, Actinopteri, Pomacentridae. The record is from RefSeq and is a predicted model, not a curated record.
AGUGUCGGCUCUGCUCCACAGAGCUAUCUUAUAUCAAUAAGAGCACUUCAUCAAUGCUGAGGCAUUAUAGAGCUCGGCAUGGCAAUGAAGAAUUGGCAGAUACUCGUGAGAGUACCCCAGUUCCUAACAAGCAAGCAGUGGAUGAGGCAGUGGUCAAUAUGAUCAUCAAAGACUGUCAGCCACUCAGCUUUGUUGAAAAUGAGGGAUUCAGGGAGCUCCUGAAGCUUAUUGUACCCUCAUAUACUCUACCAAGCAGGAAGACCAUCAAGGACUUGGUGAGCCAGAGAUAUGAGGAGGAAAAGGAGAAAACCAAAAAGGACCUCCAGAGUGCCGUUGCUGUUACUUUAACAGCUGAUAUGUGGACGUCUAUGAAUAUGGAGGCAUAUCUAGCUGUUACUGGCCACUAUGUGGACAA